This 859-nucleotide ribosomal RNA is filed under the name uncultured Devosia sp. RNAcentral's name for it is "bacterial SSU rRNA". It matches the Rfam family "Bacterial small subunit ribosomal RNA", at positions 8 to 916 of the family's 1533-position model. Lineage: Bacteria; Pseudomonadati; Pseudomonadota; Alphaproteobacteria; Hyphomicrobiales; Devosiaceae. The record is from RNAcentral.
AGAGUUUGAUCAUGGCUCAGAACGAACGCUGGCGGCAGGCUUAACACAUGCAAGUCGAACGCCCCGCAAGGGGAGUGGCAGACGGGUGAGUAACGCGUGGGAAUCUACCCAGUUCUACGGAACAACUGAGGGAAACUUCAGCUAAUACCGUAUACGCCCUACGGGGGAAAGAUUUAUCGGAAUUGGAUGAGCCCGCGUUGGAUUAGCUAGUUGGUGAGGUAACGGCUCACCAAGGCGACGAUCCAUAGCUGGUCUGAGAGGAUGAUCAGCCACACUGGGACUGAGACACGGCCCAGACUCCUACGGGAGGCAGCAGUGGGGAAUAUUGGACAAUGGGCGCAAGCCUGAUCCAGCCAUGCCGCGUGAGUGAUGAAGGCCUUAGGGUUGUAAAGCUCUUUCAGUGGGGACGAUAAUGACGGUACCCACAGAAGAAGCCCCGGCUAACUUCGUGCCAGCAGCCGCGGUAAUACGAAGGGGGCUAGCGUUGUUCGGAUUUACUGGGCGUAAAGCGCACGUAGGCGGAUCGUUAAGUCGGGGGUGAAAUCCUGGAGCUCAACUCCAGAACUGCCUUCGAUACUGGCGAUCUUGAGUCCGGAAGAGGUGAGUGGAACUCCUAGUGUAGAGGUGGAAUUCGUAGAUAUUAGGAAGAACACCAGUGGCGAAGGCGGCUCACUGGUCCGGUACUGACGCUGAGGUGCGAAAGCGUGGGGAGCAACCAGGAUUAGAUACCCUGGUAGUCCACGCCGUAAACUAUGAGAGCUAGCCGUUGGGAGAUUUAUCUCUCAGUGGCGCAGCUAACGCAUUAAGCUCUCCGCCUGGGGAGUACGGUCGCAAGAUUAAAACUUAAAGGAAUUGACGG